GCGGAAGUGGCGGAACGGCAGACGCGCUAGCCUCAGGAGCUAGUUGGGGAAACUCAGUGGGGGUUCGAAUCCCCCCUUCCGCACCA
RNAcentral lists this transfer RNA (86 nucleotides) under Luteitalea sp. RNAcentral's name for it is "tRNA-Leu". It matches the Rfam family "tRNA". From Rfam's summary of the family: Transfer RNA (tRNA) molecules are approximately 80 nucleotides in length. Their secondary structure includes four short double-helical elements and three loops (D, anti-codon, and T loops). The record is from RNAcentral. Lineage: Bacteria; Pseudomonadati; Acidobacteriota; Vicinamibacteria; Vicinamibacterales; Vicinamibacteraceae.